RNAcentral lists this transfer RNA (66 nucleotides) under Galago senegalensis (Senegal galago). RNAcentral's name for it is "tRNA-Cys". It matches the Rfam family "tRNA". From Rfam's summary of the family: Transfer RNA (tRNA) molecules are approximately 80 nucleotides in length. RNAcentral also lists the same sequence under 1 other name. Lineage: Eukaryota; Metazoa; Chordata; Mammalia; Primates; Galagidae. The record is from RNAcentral.
AGCUCCGAGGUGGUGGCCAUGUUGGAUUGCAAAUCCAAAGAAGCAGCUUCAAUUCUGCCGGGGCUU